AUUGAACGCUGGCGGCAGGCCUAACACAUGCAAGUCGAACGAGUGGCGGACGGGUGAGUAAUGUCUGGGAAACUGCCUGAUGGAGGGGGAUAACUACUGGAAACGGUAGCUAAUACCGCAUACCAUCGGAUGUGCCCAGAUGGGAUUAGCUAGUAGGUGGGGUAAAGGGUCACCUAGGCGACGAUCCCUAGCUGGUCUGAGAGGAUGACCAGGCAAACUGGGAACUAGAAAACGGCCAGGCUCCCAAGGGGAGCAAGAGGGGGGAAUUAUGGAACAAUGGCGCAAGGCUGAAGGCACCCUGCCGGGUGGAAGAAGGAAGGCUUUGGGUUGGUAAGGUCUUUCAGGCGGGAAGCGUUACCCGCAGAAGAAGCACCGGCUAACUCCGUGCCAGCAGCCGCGGUAAUAC
This 406-nucleotide ribosomal RNA is filed under the name uncultured bacterium. RNAcentral's name for it is "partial 16S ribosomal RNA". It matches the Rfam family "Bacterial small subunit ribosomal RNA", at positions 29 to 526 of the family's 1533-position model. The record is from RNAcentral.